UACGAAGGGGGCUAGCGUUGUUCGGAAUUACUGGGCGUAAAGGGCGCGUAGGCGGUACUUCAAGUCAGGCGUGAAAGCCCCGGGCUCAACCUGGGAACCGCGCUUGAGACUGGAGAACUAGAGUUCGGGAGAGGAUGGUGGAAUUCCCAGUUUAGAGGUGAAAUUCGUAGAUAUUGGGAAGAACACCGAUGGCGAAGGCAGCCAUCUGGACCGACACUGACGCUGAGGCGCGAAAGCGUGGGGAGCACACAGG
Molecule: ribosomal RNA, 253 nt
Filed under: uncultured bacterium
Lineage: Bacteria
Description: partial 16S ribosomal RNA
Rfam family: Bacterial small subunit ribosomal RNA
Source: RNAcentral